Molecule: ribosomal RNA, 1560 nt
Filed under: Escherichia coli
Lineage: Bacteria; Pseudomonadati; Pseudomonadota; Gammaproteobacteria; Enterobacterales; Enterobacteriaceae
Description: partial 23S ribosomal RNA
Rfam family: Bacterial large subunit ribosomal RNA
Source: RNAcentral
GAAGGUGUACUGUGAGGUAUGCUGGAGGUAUCAGAAGUGCGAAUGCUGACAUAAGUAACGAUAAAGCGGGUGAAAAGCCCGCUCGCCGGAAGACCAAGGGUUCCUGUCCAACGUUAAUCGGGGCAGGGUGAGUCGACCCCUAAGGCGAGGCCGAAAGGCGUAGUCGAUGGGAAACAGGUUAAUAUUCCUGUACUUGGUGUUACUGCGAAGGGGGGACGGAGAAGGCUAUGUUGGCCGGGCGACGGUUGUCCCGGUUUAAGCGUGUAGGCUGAUUUUCCAGGCAAAUCCGGAAAAUCAAGGCUGAGGCGUGAUGACGAGGCACUACGGUGCUGAAGCAACAAAUGCCCUGCUUCCAGGAAAAGCCUCUAAGCAUCAGGUAACAUCAAAUCGUACCCCAAACCGACACAGGUGGUCAGGUAGAGAAUACCAAGGCGCUUGAGAGAACUCGGGUGAAGGAACUAGGCAAAAUGGUGCCGUAACUUCGGGAGAAGGCACGCUGAUAUGUAGGUGAAGUCCCUCGCGGAUGGAGCUGAAAUCAGUCGAAGAUACCAGCUGGCUGCAACUGUUUAUUAAAAACACAGCACUGUGCAAACACGAAAGUGGACGUAUACGGUGUGACGCCUGCCCGGUGCCGGAAGGUUAAUUGAUGGGGUCAGCGCAAGCGAAGCUCUUGAUCGAAGCCCCGGUAAACGGCGGCCGUAACUAUAACGGUCCUAAGGUAGCGAAAUUCCUUGUCGGGUAAGUUCCGACCUGCACGAAUGGCGUAAUGAUGGCCAGGCUGUCUCCACCCGAGACUCAGUGAAAUUGAACUCGCUGUGAAGAUGCAGUGUACCCGCGGCAAGACGGAAAGACCCCGUGAACCUUUACUAUAGCUUGACACUGAACAUUGAGCCUUGAUGUGUAGGAUAGGUGGGAGGCUUUGAAGUGUGGACGCCAGUCUGCAUGGAGCCGACCUUGAAAUACCACCCUUUAAUGUUUGAUGUUCUAACGUUGACCCGUAAUCCGGGUUGCGGACAGUGUCUGGUGGGUAGUUUGACUGGGGCGGUCUCCUCCUAAAGAGUAACGGAGGAGCACGAAGGUUGGCUAAUCCUGGUCGGACAUCAGGAGGUUAGUGCAAUGGCAUAAGCCAGCUUGACUGCGAGCGUGACGGCGCGAGCAGGUGCGAAAGCAGGUCAUAGUGAUCCGGUGGUUCUGAAUGGAAGGGCCAUCGCUCAACGGAUAAAAGGUACUCCGGGGAUAACAGGCUGAUACCGCCCAAGAGUUCAUAUCGACGGCGGUGUUUGGCACCUCGAUGUCGGCUCAUCACAUCCUGGGGCUGAAGUAGGUCCCAAGGGUAUGGCUGUUCGCCAUUUAAAGUGGUACGCGAGCUGGGUUUAGAACGUCGUGAGACAGUUCGGUCCCUAUCUGCCGUGGGCGCUGGAGAACUGAGGGGGGCUGCUCCUAGUACGAGAGGACCGGAGUGGACGCAUCACUGGUGUUCGGGUUGUCAUGCCAAUGGCACUGCCCGGUAGCUAAAUGCGGAAGAGAUAAGUGCUGAAAGCAUCUAAGCACGAAACUUGC